Long non-coding RNA from Carassius carassius (crucian carp), 635 nucleotides. RefSeq lists it as uncharacterized. The record is from RefSeq and is a predicted model, not a curated record. NCBI's taxonomy places the organism in Eukaryota, Metazoa, Chordata, Actinopteri, Cypriniformes, Cyprinidae. The transcript has 2 exons.
UAAAAAUGUCUCUCUGUCCUGCAGGUUCUUUUGCUUCAACUUGACACCAACAGAAGCAAUGGAGGAUGUCAUUAGGUAGGUUUAGUCCAUCAGUGUUCUGAUGACUUCCCAGCAUCCCGAGCGCUCGGUGAUUUCCCUCUAUUGUGUGUUGACUUCCUCAGAGAUGACGGAUGUGUUCCUGAACCUGGAGGCCCGGAGAGGAACGUCCACGAAACAUCGACAUUCCAUCUGUCUGAUGCAGGAUAGACAACGGCCCUCUAGGGGAAUUGUAUCCUCAUAAAAACCUGGGACUCUAAGCCUUGAUGAUAUGUUCUUCGGAGGGGGCGGCAGUAAAGACACACAGCACCUCGAGACAGACCUGACAGACUGGAGCUUCACUAAAGACCCACAUGUCUGUGUUUGCAAACCCCACAGGGGGCCCUCGGGGGUCCGGCGGCAGCGGCACGUCUUCCACUUGUCCACUUCUACUUUACACGGCUGGACUCUUUCAUACUUCUGUGAAUUCCCAUCAAGAAAUGUCAACAGUUACUGACAUGCAAUGUGAAAAACACUAGACAAUAUCUGAUUUUAAAGGACUAUACCAAUGUCAGGGUUCCAACACAGAAAAACUAAAUUGGUGUCUAACUUUUUUUUUU